GAUGAACGCUGGCGGCGUGCUUAACACAUGCAAGUCGAACGAAGCACUUUAACUUGAUUUCUUCGGAAAGAUUGUUAUUGUGACUGAGUGGCGGACGGGUGAGUAACGCGGGGGUAACCUGCCUCAUACAGGGGGAUAACAGUUGGAAACGACUGCUAAUACAGCAUAAGCGCACGGUAUCGCAUGAUACAGGGUGAAAAACUCAGGUGGUAUGAGAUGGACCCGCGUCUGAUUAGCUAGUUGGCGGGGUAACGGCCCACCAAGGCAACGAUCAGUAGCCGACCUGAGAGGGUGACCGGCCACAUUGGGACUGAGACACGGCCCAAACUCCUACGGGAGGCAGCAGUGGGGAAUAUUGCACAAUGGGCGAAAGCCUGAUGCAGCGACGCCGCGUGAACGAUGAAGUAUUUCGGUAUGUAAAGUUCUAUCAGCAGGGAAGAAGAACGACGGUACCUGACUAAGAAGCACCGGCUAAAUACGUGCCAGCCGCCGCGGUAA
This 498-nucleotide ribosomal RNA is filed under the name uncultured bacterium. RNAcentral's name for it is "partial 16S ribosomal RNA". It matches the Rfam family "Bacterial small subunit ribosomal RNA", at positions 28 to 523 of the family's 1533-position model. The record is from RNAcentral.